RNAcentral lists this ribosomal RNA (253 nucleotides) under uncultured bacterium. RNAcentral describes it as "partial 16S ribosomal RNA". It matches the Rfam family "Bacterial small subunit ribosomal RNA", at positions 524 to 776 of the family's 1533-position model. The record is from RNAcentral.
CACGUAGGGUGCGAGCGUUGUCCGGAAUUAUUGGGCGUAAAGAGCUCGUAGGCGGUGUGUCGCGUCGGCCGUGAAAACCUGCAGCUCAACUGUGGGCUUGCAGCUGAUACGGGCAGGCUUGAGUUCGGUAGGGGAGACUGGAAUUCCUGGUGUAGCGGUGAAAUGCGCAGAUAUCAGGAGGAACACCGGUGGCGAAGGCGGGUCUCUGGGCCGAUACUGACGCUGAGGAGCGAAAGCGUGGGGAGCGAACAGG